GCUCAUCUAGUAAAUAAGACGUUUCCACAUCUUGAACAAGUGCUGAUAACUCUACUAAUGGUUCAUUCCAUUGGUGGGCA
Molecule: transfer RNA, 80 nt
Filed under: Arcobacter lacus
Lineage: Bacteria; Pseudomonadati; Campylobacterota; Epsilonproteobacteria; Campylobacterales; Arcobacteraceae
Description: tRNA-Ser(tga)
Source: RNAcentral